GUGACUGCGUACCUUUUGUAUAAUGGGUCAGCGACUUAUAUUCUGUAGCAAGGUUAACCGUAUAGGGGAGCCGGAGGGAAACCGAGUCUUAACCGGGCGUUAAGUUGCAGGGUAUAGACCCGAAACCCGGUGAUCUAGCCAUGGGCAGGUUGAAGGUUGGGUAACACUAACUGGAGGACCGAACCGACUAAUGUUGAAAAAUUAGCGGAUGACCUGUGGCUGGGGGUGAAAGGCCAAUCAAACCGGGAGAUAGCUGGUUCUCCCCGAAAGCUAUUUAGGUAGCGCCUCGUGAAUUCAUCUCCGGGGGUAGAGCACUGUUUCGGCUAGGGGGCCAUCCCGGCUUACCAACCCGAUGCAAACUGCGAAUACCGGAGAAUGUUAUCACGGGAGACACACGGCGGGUGCUAACGUCCGUCGUGAAGAGGGAAACAACCCAGACCGCCAGCUAAGGUCCCAAAGUCAUGGUUAAGUGGGAAACGAUGUGGGAAGGCCCAGACAGCCAGGAUGUUGGCUUAGAAGCAGCCAUCAUUUAAAGAAAGCGUAAUAGCUCACUGGUCGAGUCGGCCUGCGCGGAAGAUGUAACGGGGCUAAACCAU
Molecule: ribosomal RNA, 596 nt
Filed under: Salmonella enterica subsp. enterica serovar Coeln
Lineage: Bacteria; Pseudomonadati; Pseudomonadota; Gammaproteobacteria; Enterobacterales; Enterobacteriaceae
Also listed under: 1 other name
Description: partial 23S ribosomal RNA
Rfam family: Bacterial large subunit ribosomal RNA
Source: RNAcentral